GCGGGGGUACCCGAGCCAGGUCUAAAUAGGCGGGCCAGAAAAUCCUCUGGCGUAGGCCUUCGUGGGUUCAAGUCCCACCCCCCGCA
This 86-nucleotide transfer RNA is filed under the name Candidatus Bathyarchaeota archaeon. Its description in RNAcentral is "tRNA-Phe". It matches the Rfam family "tRNA". Rfam says of the family: Transfer RNA (tRNA) molecules are approximately 80 nucleotides in length. Their secondary structure includes four short double-helical elements and three loops (D, anti-codon, and T loops). Lineage: Archaea; Thermoproteati; Candidatus Bathyarchaeota. The record is from RNAcentral.